UUCUAGGUGGUCUAGUGGCUAGGAUUCCUGGUUUUCAUCCAGACUGCCCAGGUUCAAUUUCUGAGCAGAGAAU
This is a non-coding RNA of Sus scrofa (pig), 73 nucleotides long. The record is from Rfam. Lineage: Eukaryota; Metazoa; Chordata; Mammalia; Artiodactyla; Suidae.